UACGUAGGGUCCAAGCGUUAUCCGGAAUCACUGGGCGUAAAGCGUGCGUAGGUGGAUGCUUAAGUGAGUUGUUAAAUCGUGUGGCUCAACCAUAUCGAUGCAAUUCAUACUGGGCGUCUAGAGGACAGCAGAGGCAAGUGGAAUUAGCAGUGUAGCAGUGAAAUGCGUAGAUAUUGCUAGGAACACCAAUGGCGAAGGCAGCUUGCUGGGCUACUCCUGACACUGAGGUACGAAAGCGUGGGGAGCGAACAGG
RNAcentral lists this ribosomal RNA (253 nucleotides) under uncultured bacterium. Its description in RNAcentral is "partial 16S ribosomal RNA". It matches the Rfam family "Bacterial small subunit ribosomal RNA", at positions 524 to 776 of the family's 1533-position model. The record is from RNAcentral.